CCCUGGCUCAGGACGAACGCUGGCGGCAUGCCUAAUACAUGCAAGUCGAGCGGAGUUUUGUUGAAAGCUUGCUUUCAACAGGAUUUAGCGGCGGACGGGUGAGUAACACGUAGGCAACCUGCCCCAUAGUCUGGGAUAACUACCGGAAACGGUAGCUAAUACCGGAUAAUUCCUUUCCCCACCUGGGAAGAGGAUGAAAGACGGAGUAAUCUGUCGCUGAGGGAUGGGCCUGCGGCGCAUUAGCUAGUUGGUGGGGUAACGGCUCACCAAGGCGACGAUGCGUAGCCGACCUGAGAGGGUGAACGGCCACACUGGGACUGAGACACGGCCCAGACUCCUACGGGAGGCAGCAGUAGGGAAUCUUCCGCAAUGGGCGCAAGCCUGACGGAGCAAUGCCGCGUGAGUGAUGAAGGUUUUCGGAUCGUAAAGCUCUGUUGCCAGGGAAGAACGUCUUAUAGAGUAACUGCUAUAAGAGUGACGGUACC
Molecule: ribosomal RNA, 485 nt
Filed under: Paenibacillaceae bacterium CL5.107
Lineage: Bacteria; Bacillati; Bacillota; Bacilli; Caryophanales; Paenibacillaceae
Description: bacterial SSU rRNA
Rfam family: Bacterial small subunit ribosomal RNA
Source: RNAcentral